RNAcentral lists this ribosomal RNA (654 nucleotides) under Triticum aestivum (bread wheat). RNAcentral's name for it is "partial small subunit ribosomal RNA". The record is from RNAcentral. Lineage: Eukaryota; Viridiplantae; Streptophyta; Magnoliopsida; Poales; Poaceae.
CUUGGGGUGUUGUACUUGGACAUAAUGAACAUUUGUUUACUCUGUAAAUGGAUCUGGAAAUUGGAAAAUGAGAAGGGGGUGUGGUUGGACCUAGUGAGGAAUAAAUAUCUAAGAAAGUGUACUCAUAGGAAUAGUAAAAGUAAACCUGGACAUGCUCAUUUCUGGCAGGGGCUUAUGAAAGUUAAACAUGUUUUCUUACAAUAUAGUAGGAAGAUGGUGGGUAAUGGUGAAAGGACUUUGUUUUGGAAUGAUGUUUGGUUAGGAGAUAGGCCUUUAAGCUUGAAAUUUCCUAGGCUGUAUUUGCUUACUUUUAGUGUUGCUAAUGCCCUUUCUGAAGGCAUGAGUAAGAUUAGAUUCGGAAGGAUUCUUUGGGGGGAGACGACUGAUAUGUGGUAUGAGUUAAAGGAAAUUUGUAAGGAUGUUGUGCUAACAAAACAAGGUGAUACGUGUUCUUGGUUGCCAGAUAAAACUGGCAAAUUUACUGUUCGAUCAUUGUACUUGGUUUUAAAAACUAAUCAGGUUCCAUGGCCACAUAGAAAGUUGUGGUAUGUUAAAAUCCCUUUGAACAUUAAAGUGUUUCUUUUGUUGGUUUUCAAAAAUAGUGUUCGAACUAGAGAUAAUUUGGCCAAACGAAACUAUAAGGGAAGGAUGUAA